This 870-nucleotide ribosomal RNA is filed under the name uncultured bacterium. Its description in RNAcentral is "bacterial SSU rRNA". It matches the Rfam family "Bacterial small subunit ribosomal RNA", at positions 9 to 873 of the family's 1533-position model. The record is from RNAcentral.
GGCUUAGAGUUUGAUCAUGGCUCAGGAUAGACGCUGGCGGCGCACAUAAGACAUGCAAGUCGAACGGACCAAAUUGAUUUGUUUAACUUAUCGAAGAGGUUAGUGGCGGACUGGUGAGUACAACGUAAAUAAUCUGCCUAUAAGAGGGGAACAACACUGAGAAAUCAGUGCUAAUACCGCAUAAGCUAACAGUAACGCAUGUUAUAGUUAGAAAAGGAGCAAUCCGCUUAUAGAUGAGUUUACGCCUGAUUAGCUAGUUGGUGUGGUAAAGGCAUACCAAGGCGACGAUCAGUAGCCGUGCUGAGAGGCAAGACGGCCACAUUGGGACUGAGAUACGGCCCAGACUCCUACGGGAGGCAGCAGUCGGGAAUAUUGCGCAAUGGAGGAAACUCUGACGCAGUGACGCCGCGUAUAGGAAGAAGGUUUUCGGAUUGUAAACUAUUGUAGACAGGGAAGAAAAAGGACAGUACCUGUAAAGUAAGCUCCGGCUAACUAUGUGCCAGCAGCCGCGGUAAUACAUAGGGAGCAAGCGUUAUCCGGAUUUAUUGGGUGUAAAGGGUGCGUAGACGGGAAUAUAAGUUAGUUGUGAAAUCCCUCGGCUCAACUGAGGAACUGCAACUAAAACUGUAUUUCUUGAGUGCGGGAGAGGAAAGUGGAAUUCCUAGUGUAGCGGUGAAAUGCGUAGAUAUUAGGAGGAACACCAGUGGCGAAAGCGACUUUCUGGACCGUAACUGACGUUGAGGCACGAAAGUGUGGGGAGCAACAGGAUUAGAUACCCUGGUAGUCCACACCGUAAACGAUGGAUACUAGUGUAGGGGUAUUAAGCCUUCUGUGCGUCGCAAACGCAUAAGUAUCCCACUGGGAGUACGA